This 438-nucleotide ribosomal RNA is filed under the name uncultured bacterium. RNAcentral describes it as "partial 16S ribosomal RNA". It matches the Rfam family "Bacterial small subunit ribosomal RNA", at positions 338 to 795 of the family's 1533-position model. The record is from RNAcentral.
CCUACGGGGGGCAGCAGUGGGGAAUAUUGCACAAUGGGGGAAACCCUGAUGCAGCGACGCCGCGUGAGCGAUGAAGUAUGUCGGUAUGUAAAGCUCUAUCAGCAGGGAAGAAGAUGACGGUACCUGACUAAGAAGCCCCGGCUAACUACGUGCCAGCAGCCGCGGUAAUACGUAGGGGGCAAGAGUUAUCCGGAGUUAUUGGGGUUAAAGGGAGCGUAGGCCGGCUUUUAAGUCAGCUGUGAAAGUCCGCGGCUCAACCGUGGAAUUGCAGUUGAAACUGGAGGCCUUGAGUGCACACAGGGAUGCCGGAAUUCAUGGUGUAGCGGUGAAAUGCUUAGAUAUCAUGAAGAACUCCGAUCGCGAAGGCAAGUGUCCGGGGUGCAACUGACGCUGAGGCUCGAAAGUGCGGGUAUCAAACAGGAUUAGAUACCCGUAGUC